Molecule: ribosomal RNA, 253 nt
Filed under: uncultured bacterium
Lineage: Bacteria
Description: partial 16S ribosomal RNA
Rfam family: Bacterial small subunit ribosomal RNA
Source: RNAcentral
UACGUAGGGGGCAAGCGUUGUCCGGAUUUAUUGGGCGUAAAGAGCGUGUAGGCGGCCAGUUAGGUCAGCUGUGAAAACUCGCGGCUCAACCUCGAGACGUCGGUUGAAACCAUCUGGCUAGAGUCCGGAAGAGGAGAGUGGAAUUCCCGGUGUAGCGGUGAAAUGCGCAGAUAUCGGGAAGAACACCCGUGGCGAAGGCGGCUCUCUGGGACGGUACUGACGCUGAGACGCGAAAGCGUGGGGAGCGAACAGG